UGCCCCGUGUUACAAUCGAACUCACGACCUUCAGAUUAUGAGACUGACGCGCUACCUACUGCGCUUAAUGAGGC
RNAcentral lists this transfer RNA (74 nucleotides) under Cordylochernes scorpioides. Its description in RNAcentral is "tRNA-Met". Lineage: Eukaryota; Metazoa; Arthropoda; Arachnida; Pseudoscorpiones; Chernetidae. The record is from RNAcentral.